GAACUUUUGAAGAAUGUUUUGGGUUGUCGAAUGAUGUCAUCCAAUUCAAUAAAACAAGGAAAAUCUGAGAGUUAACUAGUGAUGUCACGGUUAAUUUGGAGCAUUGUCAUUUAUAAUUCAAUGAAGUAGUAACUAGAAAUCGAGUUAUUUGCAUACGUGUCAUGUGUGGAGAAAAAGCCUCUAGCUAUCCCAUCCAUCAUCUUAUUUCUCACAUUCGUUUUACAAUCUGUCUAGUUUUUCAUACUUGUUUGUUUGUUACAACUUCAUCCAAAUCAAAACCCCCCUUUUAGUUUCUUGUUUCAAAAUGUUUCAAAUCUGUUUUAGUUUGUGUUUUUAAGUGUUUUGAUUCAUGUAAAAGUUAAUUUUCGUCCAAAGUCAUUCCUAGUGUCUAGUUUAAGUUUAUUUGGUUGUUUUAAGUUAUUUUGAGUAUUUUAAGUUUGCUUUGAGUCUUGUGAGUCUUAUUAAAUUUAGUUUUAUGUUUUUGAGUCAGUUUAGAGGUUAUUAGCAAGCCUUCCUAAUCCCCGGUCCAGAACGAUCCCUACUUAUACUUGUACUACAAUUGUCAAAAGAGGUUAAAUUUGUGUGUUAAGUUAAUUUUUGCAUCAGUUUCGAACUAAUUUCAUUUUCCUAGGGCUACAAUUUAGCCUAACCAUGAAUUCUUGAAACUUCAGUUUUAUUAUUUAUGAAUUUUCAUUCACUUUGAGUAUCAUUUUGCUAUGCUUUUGAGCUUGAUUUCAGUGAUUAGCCACCACUUUAAUUUGAAUUGAGUGUAUAUGAUGUGAGUAACGCAUAUGCCAUGUUGUUAAUUCGAUUGUAGCGUCUUGCAAAUGGUACCAUGAAUUCCUUGAUGUAGAUGCCAUACACUAGGUUUCAUGUGGUCCCUUAGUUCCCAAAUUGUAGUGAAUUCGUAUGUGUUUAGUAAUCUAGAUGUCAUAGAUUGUUAACACAUAGAAGUAUACGUGGUAAUCUGGAUGCCAUGGAUACUAUAUGAAUUAGAGGAAUUAGACCAUCAAGAUGGAUGUUUAUUUGUUAAUGAUUAACUAUUCGAAUAAGUUGGACUGGUUAUGGUAAAUCAGAUGCUCUAGUGUUUUUUUGCAUUUGAUUGUUCACGUCACUUAUUUAGUCUCAUUUGAUUUUUAUUUACAUUUACAAUUUCAAAGUUCUUUCUCAAAUCAUCAAUCUUUCAAUUCCAAUUCAAGUGCAAUUUAAAUUUAAGUUAGAUAAUUAGAAUUAUAUCAAUCUUAAUUGGAAUGAUCAUGUGCGUGCCUACUAUUCUACUUUACAAUUCGUACACUUGCGAGCAUUAAAAUUUGAACUUAAUUAAGUUAAUUUCAGUUAAUCUAAUUUUGGCAACAACAAUCGGCGCCACCUUUAGUUAGUCUUAACCGCAUUAGAGCAGUAGAAUCAAGCAACCGAUGAGAUACACUACGACGUGCUUGCUGGCUGCUACCUUUGAUUAGAGGCGAGUGGGGUUAAUGUUUAUAGUGGCCUAUCUUAGGGUUCAAAACCAACACGGCUGGAUGUGCGCAUUCAUUUGUGGUAUCUAAGUUUGGGCCUCCAGUUCCUGAUGUCUGGUUUCGUCAAGGAAGUGUUGGCACAUUACAGCUUGCACCCAUUAACCUUACCCCCACUGACUCUAGAGUUAUGCAUGCCUUUGAUAGGCUAAAUAGGAUUUAUAAGAUUGAGCUGGGCCUCUGCGAAUUUCAAGCCUUAUACCUACUGAAGAGUUUAUCCGCGAGUCUGAUGCGAAAAUUAUCUUAACACAUAAAUUUAACCCUCUUUUGACAAUUGUAGUACAAGUAUAAGUAGGGAUCGUUCUGGACCGGGGAUUAGGAGGGCUUGCUAAUAACCUUUGAACUGACUCAAAAACAUAAAACUAAACUUAAAAACACUUAACAAGACUCACAAGACUCAAAGCAAACUUAAAAUACUCAAAACAGCUUAAAACAACAAAAUAAACUUAAACUAGACACUAGGAAUGACUUUGGACUAAAAUUGACUUUUACUUGAAUCAAAACACUUAAAAACACAAACUAAAACAGAUUUGAAACACUUUGAAACAAGAAACUAAAAUGGGGGUUUUGAUUUGGAUGAAGUUGAAACAAACAAACAAACAAGUAUGAAAAACUAGACAGAUUGUAAAAUGAAUGUGAGAAAUAAGAUGAUGGAUGGGAUAGCUAGAGGUUUUUUCUCUACACAUGGCAUGUAUGCAAAUAACUUGAUUUCCAGUUACUACUUCAUUGAAUUAUGAAUGACAAUGCUCCAAAUUAACCGUAACAUCACUAGUUAACUCUCAGAUUUUCCUUGUUUUAUUGGAUUGGAUGACAUCAUUCGACA
Molecule: long non-coding RNA, 2337 nt
Filed under: Malus domestica (apple)
Lineage: Eukaryota; Viridiplantae; Streptophyta; Magnoliopsida; Rosales; Rosaceae
Description: long non-coding RNA (MDOM_LNC004409)
Source: RNAcentral